This 253-nucleotide ribosomal RNA is filed under the name uncultured bacterium. RNAcentral describes it as "partial 16S ribosomal RNA". It matches the Rfam family "Bacterial small subunit ribosomal RNA", at positions 524 to 776 of the family's 1533-position model. The record is from RNAcentral.
UACGUAGGGGGCAAGCGUUGUCCGGAUUUAUUGGGCGUAAAGAGCGUGUAGGCGGCCAAGCAGGUCAGCUGUGAAAACUCGAGGCUCAACCUCGAGACGUCGGUUGAAACCGCUUGGCUAGAGUCCGGAAGAGGAGAGUGGAAUUCCCGGUGUAGCGGUGAAAUGCGUAGAGAUCGUGAGGAAGACCAGUGGCGAAGGCGGGUCUCUGGACAGUUCCUGACACUGAGGCACGAAGGCCAGGGGAGCAAACGGG